GACGAACGCUGGCGGCGUGCUUAACACAUGCAAGUCGAACGGAAAGGCCCUGCUUUUGUGGGGUGCUCGAGUGGCGAACGGGUGAGUAACACGUGAGUAACCUGCCCUUGACUUUGGGAUAACUUCAGGAAACUGGGGCUAAUACCGGAUAGGAGCUCCUGCUGCAUGGUGGGGGUUGGAAAGUUUCGGCGGUUGGGGAUGGACUCGCGGCUUAUCAGCUUGUUGGUGGGGUAGUGGCUUACCAAGGCUUUGACGGGUAGCCGGCCUGAGAGGGUGACCGGCCACAUUGGGACUGAGAGACGGCCCAGACUCCUACGGGAGGCAGCAGUGGGGAAUAUUGCACAAUAGGCGGAAGCCUGAUGCAGCAACGCCGCGUGCGGGAUGACGGCCUUCGGGUUGUAAACCGCUUUCGCCUGUGACGAAGCGUGAGUGACGGUAAUGGGUAAAGAAGCACCGGCUAACUACGUG
RNAcentral lists this ribosomal RNA (468 nucleotides) under uncultured bacterium. RNAcentral's name for it is "partial 16S ribosomal RNA". It matches the Rfam family "Bacterial small subunit ribosomal RNA", at positions 28 to 507 of the family's 1533-position model. The record is from RNAcentral.